GACGAACGCUGGCGGCAUGCUUAACACAUGCAAGUCGAACGGAAAGGCCCUGCUUUUGUGGGGUGCUCUAGUUGCGAACGGGUGAGUAACACGUAGGUAACCUGCCCUUGACUUUGGGAUAACUUCAUGACACUUGGGGUAAUACCGGAUAGGAUCUCCUGCUGCAUGAUGGGGGUUGGAAAGUUUCGGCGGUUGGUGAUGGACUCGCGGCUUAUCAGCUUGUUGGGUGGGUAGUGGCUUAGCAAGGCUUUGCCGGGUAGCCUGGCUGGGCGGGUGACCGGCCACACUGGGACGGAGAUACGGCACAGCCUCGUACGGGACGCAGGAGUGGGGAAGAGAGCAUUAGGGGAGGAAGGCUGAUGCAGCACAGCCGCGUGGGGGAUGACGGCCAUCGGGUUGUAAACCGAUUUCGCCUGUGACGAAGCGUGAGUGACGGUAAUGGGUAAAGAAGCACCGGCUAACUACGUG
RNAcentral lists this ribosomal RNA (468 nucleotides) under uncultured bacterium. RNAcentral describes it as "partial 16S ribosomal RNA". It matches the Rfam family "Bacterial small subunit ribosomal RNA", at positions 28 to 507 of the family's 1533-position model. The record is from RNAcentral.